This 1404-nucleotide ribosomal RNA is filed under the name metagenome. RNAcentral describes it as "bacterial LSU rRNA". It matches the Rfam family "Bacterial large subunit ribosomal RNA", at positions 1520 to 2925 of the family's 2925-position model. The record is from RNAcentral.
UUAGGCUGGGAAAUAGGCAAAUCCGUUUCCCAUAAGGCUGAGCUGUGAUGGCGAGCGAAAUAUAGUAGCGAAGUUCCUGAUUCCACACUGCCAAGAAAAGCCUCUAGCGAGGUGAGAGGUGCCCGUACCGCAAACCGACACAGGUAGGCGAGGAGAGAAUCCUAAGGUGAUCGAGAGAACUCUCGUUAAGGAACUCGGCAAAAUGACCCCGUAACUUCGGGAGAAGGGGUGCUCUGUUAGGGUGCAAGCCCGAGAGAGCCGCAGUGAAUAGGCCCAGGCGACUGUUUAGCAAAAACACAGGUCUCUGCGAAGCCGUAAGGCGAAGUAUAGGGGCUGACGCCUGCCCGGUGCUGGAAGGUUAAGAGGAGCGCUUAGCGUAAGCGAAGGUGCGAAUUGAAGCCCCAGUAAACGGCGGCCGUAACGAUAACGGUCCUAGGUAGCGAAAUUCCUUGUCGGGUAAGUUCCGACCCGCACGAAAGGCGCAACGAUCUGGGCACUGUCUCAACGAGAGACUCGGUGAAAUUAUAGUACCUGUGAAGAUGCAGGUUACCCGCGACAGGACGGAAAGACCCCGUGGAGCUUUACUGCAGCCUGAUAUUGAAUGUUGGUACAGCUUGUACAGGAUAGGUAGGAGCCUUGGAAACCGGAGCGCCAGCUUCGGUGGAGGCAUCGGUGGGAUACUACCCUGGCUGUAUUGACCUUCUAACCCGCCGCCCUUAUCGGGCGGGGAGACAGUGUCAGGUGGGCAGUUUGACUGGGGCGGUCGCCUCCUAAAAGGUAACGGAGGCGCCCAAAGGUUCCCUCAGAAUGGUUGGAAAUCAUUCGCAGAGUGUAAAGGCACAAGGGAGCUUGACUGCGAGACCUACAAGUCGAGCAGGGGCGAAAGUCGGGCUUAGUGAUCCGGUGGUUCCGCAUGGAAGGGCCAUCGCUCAACGGAUAAAAGCUACCCCGGGGAUAACAGGCUUAUCUCCCCCAAGAGUCCACAUCGACGGGGAGGUUUGGCACCUCGAUGUCGGCUCAUCGCAUCCUGGGGCUGUAGUCGGUCCCAAGGGUUGGGCUGUUCGCCCAUUAAAGCGGUACGCGAGCUGGGUUCAGAACGUCGUGAGACAGUUCUGUCCCUAUCCGUCGCGGGCGCAGGAAAUUUGAGAGGAGCUGUCCUUAGUACGAGAGGACCGGGAUGGACGCACCGCUGGUGUACCAGUUGUUCUGCCAAGGGCAUCGCUGGGUAGCUAUGUGCGGACGGGAUAAGUGCUGAAAGCAUCUAAGCAUGAAGCCCCCCUCAAGAUGAGAUUUCCCAUUCCGCAAGGAAGUAAGAUCCCUGAAAGAUGAUCAGGUUGAUAGGUCUGAGGUGGAAGAGUGGCGACACAUGGAGCUGACAGAUACUAAUCGAUCGAGGACUUAACC